RNAcentral lists this ribosomal RNA (667 nucleotides) under uncultured Verrucomicrobium sp. RNAcentral's name for it is "bacterial SSU rRNA". It matches the Rfam family "Bacterial small subunit ribosomal RNA", at positions 417 to 1073 of the family's 1533-position model. Lineage: Bacteria; Pseudomonadati; Verrucomicrobiota; Verrucomicrobiia; Verrucomicrobiales; Verrucomicrobiaceae. The record is from RNAcentral.
UUCGGCCCGUAAACCCCUGUCAUUUGCGAACAAAUUGGUUCAACUAAUACCUGAACCAUUGAUAGUAGCGAAAGAGGAAGGGACGGCUAACUCUGUGCCAGCAGCCGCGGUAAUACAGAGGUCCCCAAGCGUUGUUCGGAUUCACUGGGCGUAAAGGGUGCGUAGGUGGUGAGGUAAGUCGGAUGUGAAAGCUCGGAGCUCAACUCCGAAAUGGCAUUGGAAACUACCUUGCUAGAGGGUUGGAAGGGGGACUGGAAUGCUUGGUGUAGCAGUGAAAUGCGUAGAUAUCAAGCGGAACACCAGUGGCGAAGGCGAGUCCCUGGACAACUCCUGACACUGAGGCACGAAAGCUAGGGGAGCAAACAGGAUUAGAUACCCUGGUAGUCCUAGCCGUAAACGGUGCACGUUUGCUGUAAAAGGAAUCGACCCCUUUUGUGGCGUAGCCAACGCGUUAAACGUGCCGCCUGGGAAGUACGGUCGCAAGAUUAAAACUCAAAGAAAUUGACGGGGGCCUGCACAAGCGGUGGAGUAUGUGGCUCAAUUCGAUGCAACGCGAAGAACCUUACCUGGCCUUGACAUGCACAUAGUAGAAGGGUGAAAGCCUGACGAGGUAGCAAUACCAGUGUGCACAGGUGCUGCAUGGCUGUCUCAGCUCGGUCGGAGAUGU